AUGGGACCUGGUGCAACUCAAAUACAUCUCACUUGCUUAGGCUGCAUUGAUGAGAGUUGGUGUUUAUUAGCAGAAUCAGUAGGUCCAGUUAUGUUAAUCCACUUUAUGCAUAUUUGGACUUUGCAGGUGCAGUAUGUUCAUACUGUAGGUGGGUUCCUUUGCAGCUGUUAACUUCCUAUGGCUGUACAAAUAAAUUCCAUAGCAUAUUGGAGACAUAUUAGAUCACAUUUGCUUGAAAGGAACCAAACCACAACCUUACCCUGUACACCAACUGUCACACCUUCUGUCAUACAUGACAGCACACUACACCUUCCUCUUUCUAUAUUUGGGUGUGGAUUUGCUAAUCUCUGCGCUGUACUCUCUGUCUCUCUCUCUCUGUCGCUCUCUUUCUGUCUCUCUCUCUCUCUCUCUCUCUGUCUCUCUCUCUCUGUCGCUCUCUCUCUCUCUCUCUGUGUCUCUCUCUCCACCCACAUUAUAUCCCCUCCUGCUCUAAUUCUUACAUGCCCUUCUUUAAAUUUAUGCAUCCCCUUAUCUAGUCAAAAAAAGUUCCACCACUGACACGCCUGUGAGUUCUUGCUUCCUCUCUGGGUGUCUGUUAAUCUUUUUCAAAACCAUCCUAAAGCAUGUUCAUUUAGAGCAAGACAUUGGUGAGUUUUAUAGAUUUUUUUUAAUCUACUGACCAUAAUUCAAAUUUCUCAUUUUCUAUCUGACAUUUAUUGUAUCAUCUUUCCACUCUCUCCAUGUCCAUCCUUCAGCUUCACACUCUCCUCCCAAUCUCUUUCCACAUCUCCUCCUCACUUCCCUACCACCACUGUUUCUCUCCUUCCACGUUGUCUUGAUUUUCUGUCACACCAACUCUUUGUCUGUGUCCCUGUUUUAUUUACUUUCAGAAAUGUAAGAACCUGUAUUCGGCUCUAAAGAGUGUAGUUAAUACUUCCAUAUCAAGUGGGCUUUUGAUUUAAACAUUUACAUUAUCUGUACUAAAUGAUGGUGCAUAUGUAAUAGACAUAUAAACAGAUGGAGUAUGUUAACAGCACAUUGCACCGUGGGAUCUUUAUUAAUCUAUGCUCCGCACCAAUACUGUACCAUGGCUGCCUACUACAUGUGAAAACAUGUAAGGUCAUAUGCAGAAAUGUAAAGGCAUUGUAGAAAGAGAGAGAAAAGAUUGACUAUCAUAUUUUGGGGCGGCAGGUAGCCAGCCGAAAGGUUCGGUGGAUCGAAUCCCCGAGCUGACAAGGUAAUAAUCUGUUGUUCUGCCCCUGAACAAGGCAGUUAACCCACUGUUCCCCGGUAGGCCAUCAUUAUAAAUAAGAAUGAGUUCUUAACUGACUUGCCCAGUUAAAUAAAGGUUAAAUAAAUAAAUGAAUAUUUUUUUUGCAUAAUCUAAUUGGUAAUCUAGUUGAGAUUAGCUGUGCUUUGUUAAUAACUUUCAUCUGAUGAGCAGAAUGUCACAUUUGUACAUCAUAUGAAACAACAAGUCCACAUACAUGAAUCCCAUUGCAUUCAUGUAUGAACUAGAAAUAUUUAUUAGUCUUCUUUAUUAUAUUCAAUUAGUGUUCAAUGUGUCAGCUAUCCACACAGGCCAGGGAGGGAGAACAGGUACACUUAUUGCAAAACGUACAUUUUUAAAUAACUUGUCGACAUCCAUAUCUAUGUAUACAAUAGUUGAAACAACAAAAAAUGAAACUUUUAUUUAUUGAGACCAGGGUCUCAUUUACAAUACAACAAAUUCAAAAUGAUCAAUAAAAAUUAAAUAAACUACAAAUUGCAGAAUCAAACACUACAACUUCAAAACAUCACAAAUACAAUUAUUUACAUUGAAUCCAAACAGUUGCAAUUCACAUUAAAUUCAUUCAACAUUAAAGUCCUAAACUGCCAUAGAGGCACCAGAGUCUAGAUGUUGGGAGUUCUGCAGGCUAUUCCAAAAAUGGGAGGCACUAAAACUGAAGGCGGAUUUACCUAGAUCGGUAUGUACUAGUGGAACCUCGAGAGUUAACCAUCCCUGUGAACGGGUUUGGUGUCUCAUAUUUUUACAUUUUAACAGUGAAGUGAGGUAGGUUAGAAGCUUGGGUAGUAGAGCUUUGUAAAUUUAAAGGGAGGAAUUAAAUGAUCUACGGGACUUAAAUGAGGACCAGCCAACCUUUUGAUACAGGAUACAGUGAUGCAUAUUAAAACGGUCACCUGCAAUAAAGCGUAGGAUGCUAUGGUAGAUGGAAAUAUGUGGGGCGGAAAUGUAGAUUCUCUGUAAAAAAAAGUGAACAAGACAGAGCGAGAGAGAGAGAGAGAGAGAGAGAGAGAGAGAGAGAGUACGCUGGCUUCCUGUUAGUGAGUCACUCAGGCAGAAUCAUGGCUUCACAGACACUUCCUGUGUCUAAAUGGGUGGGAUGCUGCAUAUAUAGUGACAGUACACUGUACAGAACAAUACAACAACUACCAUGAAAUGACACCUGUCAGAACCAUUCAUAAUCAGUCACCGUGACACCUGCCUAUACACCUCGGUGGUGUCGUGACACAUUUAUUGUAUUAUUAUUCAUAGGCAGGUUUCAGGCUGCAUUCAGAACAAGCCUCACUUUAUCCUUUAGAAAAAAGUGUGGGAAAAUCUACGUUUCUGCCACAUAUAUUUCUUUAAGGUGUAAUUAUCUGUAUUAAAGAUUUUGCUGCAUGGAUAUUGACAUGUUUUGGGCAGUAGGUAACUAAUGGUCCAUAUACUUUAUUUACAGAUCCAGUAAUACAUCUAUGUAUGGAUCAGCUGCAGUUGAAAGAAAAGAGCACCCUCAAUUUCCAGUAAACUAGAUCUCCUUCACGGCAGAGUUUGGCCUUGGAUUUCUUCAACUUUUCGGAGAACUAUUUGAAGAGGCAUGAACAACGUAUAUGACAAAACGACAUCCACCAGAAAAGUAUUGAUUGCCUUCUUCCUCCUGGUCUUCCUUGUUUGCCUCCUGGUCUUCCUGUACAUGUGGCUGAACCGCAAGACUAAUGGCCAGUACACAGUCCGCCAACUGGUCUAUGGGCAGGAUGGGGCCAGGGACCGGAUCAUGGCUGGGGUCAGAGUCCUGGAAGUGCGGCUUGGGUGCCGGCUGUGGCCCCUUGGCGCGGAUGAGGAGGCCAUAAGAGAGGAGGAACACAAAAAUGAAGAGAGGGAUGUGGAGAGAGGGAGCGAGGGAAGGGAAAAUGAGGGGGAGGAGGAGGGCGAGGAGAGGGAAGACAGAGGGGAUGACUCGUCGGAUGACUACUCCAGCAUGGAGGGCUGUGACCUGAGGGAGAGAGCAAAGCUCACGGGCGAGAAGGAAGAGAUAAGAGAGCGUGAGGAGGAGAGAGAGGAGAAUAUGGAGGAAAAGUGGGAAAGCAAAGAGGAUGGAGAGAGUGAUGAGGGAGCAGUGGGAGGAGAAAAAAGUGGAGGAGGAGGUUUGCUGAUAGACCUGCAUCAAUUCUCUGGUAGUGCCAUCUGGUCUGAGGAUAGGAGUGAGGGGGGCAGAGACAAGGAUGAUGUGACUGCAUUGUGAGGGAAGAAUCAGCGAGGGAAAAUAGUUCCAUAUUUCAUCUUUGUACAGCAAUAGCGCAUGACAGUAGGUUUUGUCGUCAUUAUCAUCAUAAUUGUACAUUGUAAACCUGACAAACCAGUGUUACAACCAGAUUACAACAAUCAGAGCAACGAGCAACAGAGACAAAAGUGUGUGAAAUAAUAAAUCAAAGUGAAUAAAGGGACUGACAAGAGCAACAAUUGCAGAAUGAAUACAUUAAACAAUAUUUUUGAGAUAUUAAAAGCUUUUUUAAAGGUUUCAUAUGAUGAAGCUCAGGUUUUGAGUGGCACUGUUUUCUGCAUUAGUCUUAUUACUAUUGUAAUAUUUGUGGCACAGUGGUCUAAAGCACUGCAUAUCAGCGAUAGAGGCCUUAUUACAGACUCUCUGGUUCGAUUCUAGUCUGUAACACAACCAGCUGUGAUUAGAAGUGCUAUAUGGUGGCGCACAAUUGGCCUAACGUCAUCCGGUGUAGGCACUCAUUGUAAAUAAGAUUUUUUUUCUUAACAGAUUUGCCUAGGUUAAAGGUUAAAUAAAAUUUCGAAAAAUUAAAUGUGUGUUUUGUAUAUUUUAGGAAUAGCUGUUUGUAUUGAAAUAAAGUGCCUAAUUCCAAUUAUUACAUGAGUUUUUUUUAAUCACAUACAAUAAUUCGUGUAUAAUACUUUCACAUUUUAAAUCAUAAAUACAAUUUCAAACAACCUAAUCCACCUAAGAUUUACCUGUU
Molecule: long non-coding RNA, 4242 nt
Organism: Oncorhynchus tshawytscha (Chinook salmon)
Lineage: Eukaryota; Metazoa; Chordata; Actinopteri; Salmoniformes; Salmonidae
Source: Ensembl